GGAGCCAUAGCUCAGCGGGAGAGCACCUGCUUCACGAGCAGGGGGUCGUGGGUUCGAAACCCUCUGGCUCCACCA
This 75-nucleotide transfer RNA is filed under the name Candidatus Izemoplasmatales bacterium. Its description in RNAcentral is "tRNA-Val". It matches the Rfam family "tRNA". From Rfam's summary of the family: Transfer RNA (tRNA) molecules are approximately 80 nucleotides in length. Lineage: Bacteria; Bacillati; Mycoplasmatota; Mollicutes; Candidatus Izemoplasmatales. The record is from RNAcentral.